RNAcentral lists this ribosomal RNA (712 nucleotides) under uncultured prokaryote. RNAcentral's name for it is "bacterial SSU rRNA". It matches the Rfam family "Bacterial small subunit ribosomal RNA", at positions 28 to 729 of the family's 1533-position model. The record is from RNAcentral.
AUUGAACGCUGGCGGCAGGCCUAACACAUGCAAGUCGAGCGGUAACACAGAGGAGCUUGCUCCUUGGGUGACGAGCGGCGGACGGGUGAGUAAUGCCUGGGGAUCUGCCCGAUAGAGGGGGAUAACUACGGGAAACUGUAGCUAAUACCGCAUAAUGUCUACGGACCAAAGUGGGGGCUCUUCGGACCUCAUGCUAUCGGAUGAACCCAGGUGGGAUUAGCUAGUUGGUGAGGUAAUGGCUCACCAAGGCGACGAUCUCUAACUGGUUUGAGAGAAUGACCAGUCACACUGGAACUGAGACACGGUCCAGACUCCUACGGGAGGCAGCAGUGGGGAAUAUUGCACAAUGGGCGCAAGCCUGAUGCAGCCAUGCCGCGUGUGUGAAGAAGGCCUUCGGGUUGUAAAGCACUUUCAGCGGGGAGGAAGGGUCACUAGUUAAUACCUAGUGGCAUUGACGUUACUCGCAGAAGAAGCACCGGCUAACUCCGUGCCAGCAGCCGCGGUAAUACGGAGGGUGCAAGCGUUAAUCGGAAUUACUGGGCGUAAAGCGCACGCNGGCGGUUUGUUAAGUCAGAUGUGAAAUCCCCGAGCUCAACUUGGGAACUGCAUUUGAAACUGGCAAGCUAGAGUCUUGUAGAGGGGGGUAGAAUUCCAGGUGUAGCGGUGAAAUGCGUAGAGAUCUGGAGGAAUACCGGUGGCGAAGGNGGCCCCC